UUUAAUUAUUUUCCUACUUGUGCACCCCCGUGAAAUUAUUAAUCUCACCCUCCCAUUCCACAAGAACCAAUAUUUCUAAUGCACCCUCGCUAUUACUAAUUCACAACAUAAUAGAAAAAAAUAUAAUUCUUUAAUGUACCCCUUAAACUUCUAAAUACACUCCCUUUCUUAAACCUACCAACUCAAGUGGUCCCUACAACUAUUUUUAACUUUAGAAACACACUUUAAUUUUCUUUCACCAAGUGGACCCCACUUAAAAUAUUCAUUUUUCACUAAAAAAAAUUAUCUUUCUCUCUCCUACUCUCCACUUUUACAUAACCAAACUUUCUCUCCCUUCUCUCUUUUGCUUUUAUUUCCCAUACACAAAAUUUCAUUCACUCAUCUUUUCUCACAUGGACCCCACUUCCCAUUUUAUUUGAGUUUUCAAACUAAACCAUUCCUUCCUCUCACCAAAGUCACGUAACCCCUCUCUAAACUCUCUUUUUUUUUCUCUCUUUUUUUUUUCUUUUUUUUUUCUUCACUCUCCCAACCUUAUUUACGUAAACACACACAGACACUUAUACACUACAAUUCUUUCAUUUCACUCUUCUCUCUCCUCUACUCAAUGCUCACGGUCCCACACAAUAUCCCACAUACUUUUAAUUUUCUUUUUCACUCACCUUCUCUACCAUUUACGUAUCAAUACUACAACACCCAUAUUUCUUCUUUUGACUUUUGAACCCCAAAACCUCUCUCAUUCUCCUCUCUCAUUUCACGUCAAAAACAAACACGCAUCUUCCUUCCUCUUUUCACGUCAACCAUGCAACAUCUUUGUGACACCCGGGCACUGACGAGGGCGGGGAGUGAUCGCCGGUGCAAGAAGCAUGGUGCAGGGGGCACGGACAAGGAGCGGCUCCUGGCAGGCUUCGAGUGGAAGGGGCACAUGGACGAAUCGAACAUACACCAGAAUGAGAGGGAUCUAGAGACUGUAUAGGUN
Molecule: long non-coding RNA, 976 nt
Filed under: Vigna radiata
Lineage: Eukaryota; Viridiplantae; Streptophyta; Magnoliopsida; Fabales; Fabaceae
Description: long non-coding RNA (VRAD_LNC006404)
Source: RNAcentral